Molecule: unclassified non-coding RNA, 178 nt
Filed under: uncultured fungus
Lineage: Eukaryota; Fungi
Description: sequence contains ITS1
Source: RNAcentral
UUGUUUAAAUUUAACUUUAUCGCCGACGCAGAGAGGCAGGGUUUCGGGACGUUCGGGGGCCCGCCGAAAAUUCGGCAGGGUCGCCCCCGAAGCAACGAGUUGUGUGCACAGAGGGUGGGAGGUCGGGCCCGAGGGCCCUCACUCAGUAAUGAUCCCUCCGCAGGUUCACCUACGGAGA